GAUGAACGCUAGCUACAGGCUUAACACAUGCAAGUCGAGGGGAAACGAUGAGAGAGCUUGCUCUCUUAGUCGUCGACCGGCGCACGGGUGAGUAACGCGUAUCCAACCUGCCUCUGACCAAGGGAUAACCCGUCGAAAGUCGGACUAAUACCUUAUGCAGUCGUCGGAAGUCAUCUGAUGACGACGAAAGAUUUCAUCGGUGAGAGAUGGGGAUGCGUCUGAUUAGCUUGUUGGCGGGGUAACGGCCCACCAAGGCGACGAUCAGUAGGGGUUCUGAGAGGAAGGUCCCCCACAUUGGAACUGAGACACGGUCCAAACACCUACGGGAGGCAGCAGUGAGGAAUAUAGGUCAAUGGGCGUAAGCCUGAACCAGCCAAGUAGCGUGCAGGAUGACGGCACUAUGGGUGGUAAACUGCUUUUAGGCGGGGAUAAAGUGAGGGACGUGUCCGUCAUUGCAGGUACCGCAUGAAUAAGGACCGGCUAAUUCCGUG
Molecule: ribosomal RNA, 491 nt
Filed under: uncultured bacterium
Lineage: Bacteria
Description: partial 16S ribosomal RNA
Rfam family: Bacterial small subunit ribosomal RNA
Source: RNAcentral